GUUUGAAUGGUGCUCAGCACCAAAGACAGGUGUAUUUAAACGUGUGACGGUGUGUGGAUGGCGUUCAGCACCAAGGACAGAUGUGUUUGUCG
This 92-nucleotide microRNA precursor is filed under the name Branchiostoma floridae (Florida lancelet). RNAcentral's name for it is "mir-2060 microRNA precursor family". It matches the Rfam family "mir-2060 microRNA precursor family". The record is from Rfam by way of RNAcentral. Lineage: Eukaryota; Metazoa; Chordata; Leptocardii; Amphioxiformes; Branchiostomatidae.